Molecule: long non-coding RNA, 617 nt
Filed under: Bos taurus (domestic cattle)
Lineage: Eukaryota; Metazoa; Chordata; Mammalia; Artiodactyla; Bovidae
Description: long non-coding RNA NONBTAT000779
Source: RNAcentral
UUCUAAUGGUAGUAUAAGUUGCCACUUUAUAAUAAAAAAGAAACAGGUGGGAACAAUAAUCAAAGCACACACUCCUUCAGAAUGUCAGUAAUUCUGAAUCCCUUCUUUGAUGCAGAAAUAGCUAUUUUUUAUUUCUAAAAAGGGAUUUUAAAGAAUUGUACUUCCUGACAGAUAUCCUGGUAAAUCAUAUCAGAUUGAAAAUUUAUACUUGAGGGCAAGAAAAAACGUGCUAAAUGCAGAUAUUCAUUUUUCUGGAAUUUUCCUGGAACCCAAGUUAAAAAUCAACAUUUAAAAUCUAAAUUAAUGUUCACAGAUGAUAUAUUGAGCUUCAGUAACAGAAGCAAAAAUAUAUUUAACACAAUGAUAAUAAAUUUAAAAUAAUGUCAUAGUAGAAACUGCAUCAUUAGACAUUUUAUUAGUUGGAAAGAAUGAGUGGAUGUUUUUUGUCUUUGCUCUAAGCACAACCUAAGGACUGUGGCAUUAAUUUUUUCUUAAAGUUGUUCAAAAGUCCAAAAUAUACUCCCAUGAAUAGAGCGGGUUUUAGGCUCCAUUAAAUGUUAACAUCUUAAGAAAUUAUUGAGACUGAAAUGUUUAAUAAACGCAUUAUAUGAGAAACC